This 497-nucleotide ribosomal RNA is filed under the name uncultured bacterium. RNAcentral describes it as "partial 16S ribosomal RNA". It matches the Rfam family "Bacterial small subunit ribosomal RNA", at positions 28 to 507 of the family's 1533-position model. The record is from RNAcentral.
GAUGAACGCUGGCGGCGUGCCUAAUACAUGCAAGUCGAGCGAACAGAUGAGGAGCUUGCUCCUCUGACGUUAGCGGCGGACGGGUGAGUAACACGUGGAUAACCUACCUAUAAGACUGGGAUAACUUCGGGAAACCGGAGCUAAUACCGGAUAAUAUAUUGAACCGCAUGGUUCAAUAGUGAAAGACGGUCUUGCUGUCACUUAUAGAUGGAUCCGCGCCGCAUUAGCUAGUUGGUAAGGUAACGGCUUACCAAGGCAACGAUGCGUAGCCGACCUGAGAGGGUGAUCGGCCACACUGGAACUGAGACACGGUCCAGACUCCUACGGGAGGCAGCAGUAGGGAAUCGUCCGCAAUGGGCGAAAGCCUGACGGAGCAACGCCGCGUGAGUGAUGAAGGUCUUCGGAUCGUAAAACUCUGUUAUUAGGGAAGAACAAAUGUGUAAGUAACUAUGCACGUCUUGACGGUACCUAAUCAGAAAGCCACGGCUAACUACGUG